Molecule: unclassified non-coding RNA, 763 nt
Filed under: Hevea brasiliensis (rubber tree)
Lineage: Eukaryota; Viridiplantae; Streptophyta; Magnoliopsida; Malpighiales; Euphorbiaceae
Source: RNAcentral
UCACCUAUGAAAGAUGAAGAUAUAUGUGAAAUUUAGAUCAACAAGCAUAUAUUAUAUACAUCUGAAUUGGACAGUUUUGACACAUUUUCUUAUCCUGUCUGUAAGAAAAUCAUGUUAAACUUACAGUGAAAUUGUUUAAACCUCUCCUUUAUGGGUAACUUCAUCUUAACAAAUUCAGAAAAGAAAAAGAAUUCAAAAACAUCACUGUUGCCUCUCAAAGCAGCAGAGUCAUUGAAGUGGAGUAAAAACCUAUAAUAACAAAAUGAAUCCAAUGCACUGUUUUCAAGAAGCUGUCACACAUACGCUCCUCUUAUCACUACCGUGACUACUUCCGUACUAUAUUGGCCAGGACUAUGCUAUAAUAAAACAGAAGUUGUUUACAAGCAAUUCUGUGAUAGUGCUUGUAAAACCAUACCAUACUACCAUGACUUCUCCAUAAGAACUCCACAGCCCCUGAAACACUAUUGGGUUGCAAGAGACACUCGCGAAUAUGCAGUAGACUGGGACACCAGACAGAAGCAAAAGGCAUUCAAACACUCUAAUCGGUUUAUAACCAUUUGCUUUCAGACUCCAAAAUUUUCUAUCCCGUGAAACUUGGUGCAACUUGGUACGACUCUCUGAGGUUUGUGGCGUUUGAGGCAGUUUAUGGCAUAAACGGCAAGGUUUGAAAUCCAUGGAAGCUUCGUCCUUGAUGAGAGACUCUCUUUGAGACUAUGAGAUUGCAGAGGGGUUGAUAAAAUUAGGAUUAUAAUGAUAGAAUCAG